UACUUCCAGUUUCGCUGUAAUCUGAUUGGCUGGGAGAGUGACUAACGCAAAGCCCGAAAAACUGGAAUCAAAGAGGAAGUGCCAAAGCACACCUUCAAAAUAAAAGCCGUUCUUAACCAUUUGUCCUUUUUUUGAUUUUCUUGAAAAUUAUAUCGCAAAACGCGUGAUCACCAAGAAAGUGUUUGUCUACCCUUAAUUCAAAGUAAUUGGCAAUUCUCAAUUGACAAUUCAAUUUGCAAUUUGAUCCUUGCUAUUUCAAAAUGCGCUUCGCCAUUGGCAAUUUAAUAUUCAGGCUUGCAAUGUGAAAAUGCAUUUUGCAAUUCAGAUUCCAAUAUGAAAAACUACCAUUAAUUGCAAAAUGAAUUAUCAAUUGAGAAUUGUAUAUUGCAUAUAUCACCCCCAGUCUAAAAAACAAUUUCAAAAAGAGUUGUAAACUCCCUGCUAUAAAUAUAUUGAUACAUUUGUAUGUAUGGUAGUCCUAUCAGGCUGUCUUUGGCUAAUUCUGGCCUUUAUAACCACGUGUAAUCAUGUGUUUAUUUCAAAUUGCAUGUUUAAAAUAAAUUCUUGUUCUUAAUAUUAUUAUAGCAAGAUGUCCCAUCUGUUUUUUUUCUGUGCAGAGCAUUUCUUCUUCUUCCAGUGCAAAUUAUCUCCCCAACAAAAAAUCAGUCUUUCGGACAAGGACAUUGCUGUUUGGCUGAAUCCACAAGAUCCUUUUUAGGCUGUUAUGUCAGUUGUGAAGUGUGCUGAUAAGACUCCAAUCAACACUGAACAUUAGUGGGAGUUUUUCUUUAUCAGUCUUGAAAUGUUACUUUUUCAGUUGUAGCCC
This 826-nucleotide long non-coding RNA is filed under the name Oryzias sinensis (Chinese medaka). Its description in RNAcentral is "lncRNA (ENSOSIG00000012049.1)". Lineage: Eukaryota; Metazoa; Chordata; Actinopteri; Beloniformes; Adrianichthyidae. The record is from RNAcentral.